GCUGGAAGCUGAGCAGCGUUCGCGGAGGCCCGCGCCUUCAAGCCGGUAGCCGCCAGCUUCGGUUCCCGCGGCACUCAGGCUUCGUCCAUUUCUGGAUGACGGAGCAGCCGCCGAGCGAGGCGGCACAC
This 128-nucleotide long non-coding RNA is filed under the name Capra hircus (goat). RNAcentral describes it as "lncRNA (ENSCHIG00010004431.1)". The record is from RNAcentral. Lineage: Eukaryota; Metazoa; Chordata; Mammalia; Artiodactyla; Bovidae.